GUACAAUAAGCCAGUCUUCAUUUAUGCCGACCCCUUAGUUCAACAUCUUCCGAUAUCGAAGGACAAGCUAGGCUUGGACGUACACGACAUCAAACAGCUUCCCAACUUUCAAGUUUGCGCAUUGCAAGCUUACAGAGGAUCCGGCGUGGUACAUUCAUAGUACGCAUUGGGACAACACAUUUAAGGCGUUUUUUGUGUCAAGCAGGCAUAGUGAGGGCUUCAUUUCUGCUGCGCUCUGUAACACAUUAUGCUCGUUGUUAGCUCCAGGUCGGCAAGGAGAACCGACUUAUAAGUGGCUUGUCCCGCAUGUAUGGCAAGGUUCAAAGAGUCAUCGAUAACUCUCUAGAUCCGAGCGGCUCGACGAGGCUUGAAAACCCAAGGAAUCAUCGACGUCAGCCCAAAAACAACAAGACAUACGGAUAUAAACGUGCUACCAGACAGAAAGGAUCACUCUAGGAGGCACCAGCAACUGUUACAACAACACAGAACACGUGGAAACGAAGCCACCACCAGAAGAAACGAGCAGCGCCCUAGGACAAGCUAGUAAUCUUCCAGUUUGACAGGAAUCAGAUCACAGACAAGGCUGGACUUUUGCCAUCUCUCUUGGGCCUAUUUUUUGCGAAGAAAGCAUGGGUAUGAGCAGUUUCCCAAACAGACAUUUGGUUUGAUCAGCUCAAAAGCCUGGAACAGAGGAUAGCCCAGUUUGUUUUCAGCUGAGGAAACAGUGGUUGGUCAAAGUUGGGAGUAGUUGUGUGCCAGGACCAUUCAGGUGUCUAGUGUACUCUCAUCAAGACAGCAAAAAGGUACAACGGCCAGAACCCUCAAGGGCAUAUAUCCGCCGCUUCGCGUUUCGUCAGCUAGACAGGCAGCCACGGGAACUUUGCCUACCAUUGAUCACAGCCGUUGGGAGUUGGGAGGACUCCUCAAUUACAUCACUGCCCCUGGUGCCUCUGGCUCAGCUGUUGAAGUCACCCUUGCCUUCCUCAAACUCAGCCUUGCAGCAGGAUUACCGAAAUUUAGAGGCGUGCCUUCC
Non-coding RNA from Neurospora crassa OR74A, 1033 nucleotides. NCBI's taxonomy places the organism in Eukaryota, Fungi, Ascomycota, Sordariomycetes, Sordariales, Sordariaceae. The record is from RefSeq and is a predicted model, not a curated record.